Molecule: unclassified non-coding RNA, 330 nt
Filed under: soil metagenome
Description: partial contains 5.8S ribosomal RNA, internal transcribed spacer 2, and large subunit ribosomal RNA
Rfam family: 5.8S ribosomal RNA (bases 1-120)
Source: RNAcentral
GAUGAAGAACGUAGCGAAAUGCGAUAAGUAAUGUGAAUUGCAGAAUUCAGUGAAUCAUCGAAUCUUUGAACGCACAUUGCGCCCCCUGGUAUUCCGGGGGGCAUGCCUGUUCGAGCGUCAUUUCACCACUCAAGCCUCGCUUGGUAUUGGGCAACGCGGUCCGCCGCGUGCCUCAAAUCGACCGGCUGGGUCUUCUGUCCCCUAAGCGUUGUGGAAACUUUCGCUAAAGGGUGUUCGGGAGGCUACGCCGUAAAACAACCCCAUUUCUAAGGUUGACCUCGGAUCAGGUAGGGAUACCCGCUGAACUUAAGCAUAUCAAUAAGCGGAUGA